GCUUGUCUCAAAGAUUAAGCCAUGCAUGUCUAAGUAUAAACGAAUUUAUACUGUGAAACUGCGAAUGGCUCAUUACAUCAGUUAUAGUUUAUUUGAUGGUCCUUGCUACUUGGAUAACCGUAGUAAUUCUAGAGCUAAUACAUGCAUAAAACCCUAACUUCUGGAAAGGGUGCACUUAUUAGAUAAAGCCAACGCUGGGUAAAACCAGUUUCCCUUGGUGAUUCAUAAUAAUUAAGCGGAUCGCAUGGCCUUGUGCUAGCGACAGUCCACUCGAUUUUCUGCCCUAUCAUGGUUGAGAUUGUAAGAUAGAGGCUUACAAUGCCUACAACGGGUAACGGGGAAUUAGGGUUCGAUUCCGGAGAGGGAGCCUGAGAAACGGCUACCACAUCCAAGGAAGGCAGCAGG
This 405-nucleotide ribosomal RNA is filed under the name uncultured Mucor. RNAcentral's name for it is "partial small subunit ribosomal RNA". It matches the Rfam family "Eukaryotic small subunit ribosomal RNA", at positions 30 to 432 of the family's 1831-position model. The record is from RNAcentral. Lineage: Eukaryota; Fungi; Mucoromycota; Mucoromycetes; Mucorales; Mucoraceae.